This 520-nucleotide ribosomal RNA is filed under the name uncultured Glomus. RNAcentral describes it as "SSU rRNA". It matches the Rfam family "Eukaryotic small subunit ribosomal RNA", at positions 569 to 1090 of the family's 1831-position model. Lineage: Eukaryota; Fungi; Glomeromycota; Glomeromycetes; Glomerales; Glomeraceae. The record is from RNAcentral.
AGCAGCCGCGGUAAUUCCAGCUCCAAUAGCGUAUAUUAAAGUUGUUGCAGUUAAAAAGCUCGUAGUUGAAUUUCGAGACCGGCUUACUGGUCGUGCUAUUGUACGUACUGGUAUAAUCGGUUUCUCCUUUCUGACGAACUAUAAUGCCAUUAAUUUGGUGUUUUAGGGAAUCAGGACUGUUACUUUGAAAAAAUUAGAGUGUUUAAAGCAGGCUCACGCUUGAAUACAUUAGCAUGGAAUAACGGAAUAGGACGUUUGAUUCUAUUUUGUUGGUUUCUAGGAUCGACGUAAUGAUUAAUAGGGAUAGUUGGGGGCAUUAGUAUUCAAUUGUCAGAGGUGAAAUUCUUGGAUUUAUUGAAGACUAACUACUGCGAAAGCAUUUGCCAAGGAUGUUUUCAUUAAUCAAGAACGAAAGUUAGGGGAUCGAAGACGAUCAGAUACCGUCGUAGUCUUAACCAUAAACUAUGCCGACUAGGGAUCGGAUGAUGUUAAUUUUUUAAUGUACUCAUUCGGCGCCUUA